UACGGAGGAUGCGAGCGUUAUCCGGAUUUAUUGGGUUUAAAGGGUGCGUAGGCGGGCUGUUAAGUCAGCGGUAAAAGCCCGGGGCUCAACCCCGGCGAGCCGUUGAAACUGGCAGUCUCGAGUUGGAGAGAAGUAUGCGGAAUGCGCGGUGUAGCGGUGAAAUGCAUAGAUAUCACGCAGAACUCCGAUUGCGAAGGCAGCAUACCGGCGCCCGACUGACGCUGAGGCACGAAAGCGUGGGGAUCGAACAGG
This 252-nucleotide ribosomal RNA is filed under the name uncultured Bacteroidales bacterium. Its description in RNAcentral is "partial 16S ribosomal RNA". It matches the Rfam family "Bacterial small subunit ribosomal RNA", at positions 524 to 776 of the family's 1533-position model. The record is from RNAcentral. Lineage: Bacteria; Pseudomonadati; Bacteroidota; Bacteroidia; Bacteroidales.